GGUGGCUCAAUGGUAGAGCACUUGCCUUGUAUGCAUGAGGCCCUGGGUUCGAUUCCCCAGCACCA
Molecule: transfer RNA, 65 nt
Filed under: Dipodomys ordii (Ord's kangaroo rat)
Lineage: Eukaryota; Metazoa; Chordata; Mammalia; Rodentia; Heteromyidae
Rfam family: tRNA
About the family: Transfer RNA (tRNA) molecules are approximately 80 nucleotides in length.
Source: Rfam by way of RNAcentral